GCAAGUCGAGGGGUAACAGGGAUUGCUUGCAAUCCGCUGACGACCGGCGCACGGGUGCGUAACGCGUAUGAAACCUGCCUUUUACAGGGGGAUAGCCCAGAGAAAUUUGGAUUAAUAUCCCAUAGUUCCUAUGUAUCGCCUGAUAUAUAGGAUAAAGCUUCGGCGGUAAAAGAUGGUCAUGCGUGACAUUAGCUAGUUGGUAAGGUAACGGCUUACCAAGGCGACGAUGUCUAGGGGUUCUGAGAGGAAGGUC
This 253-nucleotide ribosomal RNA is filed under the name uncultured bacterium. RNAcentral describes it as "partial 16S ribosomal RNA". It matches the Rfam family "Bacterial small subunit ribosomal RNA", at positions 57 to 305 of the family's 1533-position model. The record is from RNAcentral.